GUUUUAGGAUGUCAUCAUUUUGAUGUGAAUCAUGUAAAUGUUGAUAAUAUGCUGUUUAUUAUACAUUUAGUGUUUCAAGAGAUUCACUUAAUUGCCUUUUUGCCCACUUACAUUAUGUAGUCUAUUUGCAACUGUUUUUUAAAAAAAUGACAUUAAAAGAAUACUUUAUGUAGAGAAACAUUAGUGGAUGUUAAUUGUCUCCCCACCUAUAUUUAUGGGUGUUAGCGCAACUGCUUUGCUAGUUGCAAAGCUGUAUUAUCAGAGUAAAAGUGUAUUUGUAAACUGUAUGGGAACUAAAAAUUAGGAAUAAAACCAUUUUCUUAU
Molecule: long non-coding RNA, 324 nt
Filed under: Homo sapiens (human)
Lineage: Eukaryota; Metazoa; Chordata; Mammalia; Primates; Hominidae
Description: LHRI_LNC1399.1
Source: RNAcentral